UCACAACACUUUCACACAAGACCAAUAUGACAUCACAAGAAUAACACCACAUUUUAUACUGACUGGCAAAUUCCUGGAUUCCCUAAUUUGCAACUCUUGAAAUGUUUGAACUAUUUCUGAACCGAACGUGGAAAACUGACCAAGAUGAGUGACGAAAAUUGGAUAGUUCACUUAAUAUGCUCCAGUACAAGGAACUAAGGAGAGAUACAAAAUGCAAACAACACAAUACCAAAGGAAUUGCCUAAAUUUUUAUGAACAACAACGAAAAUAGGCGGACCUGGAUGGCGUUUAGAGCCAGUUUUAAAUAAUGGUUAUCCUCGCUGAGAUGGUCUCUCGUAUCGACAUUUUACCAUCUGAAGCGUUUGCUUGGUGACGAUGCCACGGCCUACUUAUAACCCUGACAAAAACUACAGUUUCAUCAACUUGCAUAUCCCAUGGUCACCACCCGGCAGACCAGAUAAGUGGUCUGACUAAAUCAAAUAAACACGACAAAGGACAAACAAUAAUAACGCAUCUGCAUUGAACUGAUAAAGUAAGGUCACCGAAAUAUCAGAUAAUUUUCUAAAUUGAAAAAAGAAAUUUUUUCCAAAGGCCAAGCUUAACACUUCGAAGGAUGUACUUUGAUGAACCUAGGUCAAAAGAAUAUCAAAUCUGAGUCAAAACAAGAUAAAGGUUAACGAGACGUUUGGGCCAGCUAAAACUAUUACAAUUGAGCGAAUUAUGGCUUGCGCUGAUAAUGUUGAAGGGACUUUGAAUUGUGGAAAGUUCGUUUUAACAACUUCACCCUGAUUUAUACCGCAGGUUAACAUGGAUGAGAGCGGAGGAUCUACGCCGUCCGUCCGAUUUAACUUUCAUUUCAUAACUUUCAACGGAAAUCCCGACGGAACUCGGGGGUUUUCCUAUCGCAAAACUGGAACAGCCGAACGACGAGAAUCCAAAGGGGCCUCGCCUAUUGUACAAUUGUUUCAAUUUAAAAUGAAUUUUCUCUCUUUGUAACUGCUUCUCGACAUAUCUAGUACACAUUCAGAUAAAUAUGAUCAUUGAUGUUCAAACUCCAAGACGAUAUGGGACGUGAAAGCGUCUGUAUUAUAUAUAUUUUAUUUAUGGUUUGAAAAAUAAAUGUGU
Molecule: long non-coding RNA, 1125 nt
Filed under: Cimex lectularius (bed bug)
Lineage: Eukaryota; Metazoa; Arthropoda; Insecta; Hemiptera; Cimicidae
Description: uncharacterized LOC106662190, transcript variant X6
Source: RNAcentral